CCUACGGGUGGCAGCAGUGGGGAAUAUUGCACAAUGGGGGAAACCCUGAUGCCGCGACGCCGCGUGAGUGAAGAAGUAUUUCGGUAUGUUAAGCUCUAUCAGUAGGGAAGUAAAUGACGGUACCUGAUUAAGAAGCCCCGGCUAACUACGUGCCAGCAGCCGCGGUAACAAGUCGGGCGCAAGCGUUAUCCGGAUUUACUGGGUGUAAAGGGAGCGUAGACGGCAGCACAAGUCUGGAGUGAAAUGGCGGGUCUUAACCCCGGCACUGCUUUGGAAACUGUGCAGCUAGAGUGUAGUAGAGGUAAGUGGAAUUCCUGGGGUAGCGGUGAAAUGCGUAGAUAUUAGGAGGAACACCAGUGGCGAAGGCAGCUUACUGGACUGUAACUGACGUUGAGGCUCGAAAGCGUGGGGAGCAAACAGGAUUAGAUACCCCAGUAGUC
This 440-nucleotide ribosomal RNA is filed under the name uncultured bacterium. RNAcentral describes it as "partial 16S ribosomal RNA". It matches the Rfam family "Bacterial small subunit ribosomal RNA", at positions 338 to 795 of the family's 1533-position model. The record is from RNAcentral.